This is a long non-coding RNA of Solanum pennellii, 770 nucleotides long. RefSeq lists it as uncharacterized. Lineage: Eukaryota; Viridiplantae; Streptophyta; Magnoliopsida; Solanales; Solanaceae. The record is from RefSeq and is a predicted model, not a curated record. The transcript has 2 exons.
UUUCUUACUGAUAAAAAAUUUCUAGUAGCCUCACUCUCUCAUUUUAUUCCCUUCUAUUUUCAGAAAAAACAAACCUUGUCAUUAAUGGACAGUGGUAAGCUACUCCAUUUUCAUGCUACUUUCUUCUCAAUCAGCAAAGGUUACAGGCCUGUCCAGAACCUACCCAACGUUCAAUGUCUUUGACAAAUUUCAAAAUUGAAAUUAAAAAUCCCACCCAAACUAAGAACCCUAGUUUUUUACUCCUAUAAUUAUUAGAAAUUGUUAUCCAUUUGAACAAGAUUUUAGCUGCAUUCUUCACCCACAGGAUUGAUAAUACCUUUAUAUUUCUCUUAUCUUUGUUCUUCUCUCACGGAUCUAGCCAUAACAAAGACUUUGCAUUUUAUUUAACUCGAGCUAGACUCGUUUUCGUUUGCAAAAGGAAUGUAGAUCUGCGGCUCAAAGACCCCUCAGUUUACUGCUCCACAAAAGCCACGAGUGCACACAUUUGAGAGUAAUUGUGGAACCUCGAGGAGCGAUCGACUACAAUUAUUUGCACCGGAGUCGGUCAAAAUCGUUUUCAAGGGAAUGUCUUAUCACAACAGAGUGUCUCUGAUAAGUUAUUUACUACUUGAUAAUUCUAGUCUAAUAUCAAUAUUGUAGUAUUUUUACCAACAACUUUCAUUUACAAUGACUUUGUGUAACCUUUUCUUGAUUUUCACUACAACCUUUCUCUAAAACACUUUGAUACUAAACAUGGGGUCUGUGCAAUUCUCAUUUAUGCUCUUUCAUUG